RNAcentral lists this ribosomal RNA (2918 nucleotides) under Bacillus sp. Co1-6. RNAcentral describes it as "bacterial LSU rRNA". It matches the Rfam family "Bacterial large subunit ribosomal RNA". The record is from RNAcentral. Lineage: Bacteria; Bacillati; Bacillota; Bacilli; Caryophanales; Bacillaceae.
GAAAGGGCGCACGGUGGAUGCCUUGGCACUAGGAGCCGAUGAAGGACGGGACGAACACCGAUAUGCUUCGGGGAGCUGUAAGCAAGCUUUGAUCCGGAGAUUUCCGAAUGGGGAAACCCACCACUCGUAAUGGAGUGGUAUCCAUAUCUGAAUACAUAGGAUAUGAGAAGGCAGACCCGGGGAACUGAAACAUCUAAGUACCCGGAGGAAGAGAAAGCAAAUGCGAUUCCCUGAGUAGCGGCGAGCGAAACGGGACCAGCCCAAACCAAGAGGCUUGCCUCUUGGGGUUGUAGGACACUCUGUACGGAGUUACAAAGGAACGAGGUAGAUGAAGAGGUCUGGAAAGGCCCGCCAUAGGAGGUAACAGCCCUGUAGUCAAAACUUCGUUCUCUCCUGAGUGGAUCCUGAGUACGGCGGAACACGUGAAAUUCCGUCGGAAUCCGGGAGGACCAUCUCCCAAGGCUAAAUACUCCCUAGUGACCGAUAGUGAACCAGUACCGUGAGGGAAAGGUGAAAAGCACCCCGGAAGGGGAGUGAAAGAGAUCCUGAAACCGUGUGCCUACAAGUAGUCAGAGCCCGUUAACGGGUGAUGGCGUGCCUUUUGUAGAAUGAACCGGCGAGUUACGAUCCCGUGCAAGGUUAAGCAGAAGAUGCGGAGCCGCAGCGAAAGCGAGUCUGAAUAGGGCGAAUUGAGUACGUGGUCGUAGACCCGAAACCAGGUGAUCUACCCAUGUCCAGGGUGAAGUUCAGGUAACACUGAAUGGAGGCCCGAACCCACGCACGUUGAAAAGUGCGGGGAUGAGGUGUGGGUAGGGGUGAAAUGCCAAUCGAACCUGGAGAUAGCUGGUUCUCUCCGAAAUAGCUUUAGGGCUAGCCUCAAGGUAAGAGUCUCGGAGGUAGAGCACUGAUUGGACUAGGGGCCCCUACCGGGUUACCGAAUUCAGUCAAACUCCGAAUGCCGAUGACUUAUCCUUGGGAGUCAGACUGCGAGUGAUAAGAUCCGUAGUCAAAAGGGAAACAGCCCAGACCGCCAGCUAAGGUCCCAAAGUAUACGUUAAGUGGAAAAGGAUGUGGAGUUGCUUAGACAACCAGGAUGUUGGCUUAGAAGCAGCCACCAUUUAAAGAGUGCGUAAUAGCUCACUGGUCGAGUGACUCUGCGCCGAAAAUGUACCGGGGCUAAACGUAUCACCGAAGCUGCGGACUGUUCUUCGAACAGUGGUAGGAGAGCGUUCUAAGGGCUGUGAAGCAAGACCGGAAGGACUUGUGGAGCGCUUAGAAGUGAGAAUGCCGGUAUGAGUAGCGAAAGAGGGGUGAGAAUCCCCUCCACCGAAUGCCUAAGGUUUCCUGAGGAAGGCUCGUCCGCUCAGGGUUAGUCGGGACCUAAGCCGAGGCCGAAAGGCGUAGGCGAUGGAUAACAGGUUGAUAUUCCUGUACCACCUCCUCACCAUUUGAGCAAUGGGGGGACGCAGGAGGAUAGGGUAAGCGCGGUAUUGGAUAUCCGCGUCCAAGCAGUUAGGCUGGGAAAUAGGCAAAUCCGUUUCCCGUGAAGGCUGAGCUGUGAUGGCGAGCGAAUUAUAGUAGCGAAGUUCCUGAUUCCACACUGCCAAGAAAAGCCUCUAGCGAGGUGAGAGGUGCCCGUACCGCAAACCGACACAGGUAGGCGAGGAGAGAAUCCUAAGGUGAUCGAGAGAACUCUCGUUAAGGAACUCGGCAAAAUGACCCCGUAACUUCGGGAGAAGGGGUGCUCUGUUAGGGUGCAAGCCCGAGAGAGCCGCAGUGAAUAGGCCCAGGCGACUGUUUAGCAAAAACACAGGUCUCUGCGAAGCCGUAAGGCGAAGUAUAGGGGCUGACGCCUGCCCGGUGCUGGAAGGUUAAGAGGAGCGCUUAGCGUAAGCGAAGGUGCGAAUUGAAGCCCCAGUAAACGGCGGCCGUAACUAUAACGGUCCUAAGGUAGCGAAAUUCCUUGUCGGGUAAGUUCCGACCCGCACGAAAGGCGCAACGAUCUGGGCACUGUCUCAACGAGAGACUCGGUGAAAUUAUAGUACCUGUGAAGAUGCAGGUUACCCGCGACAGGACGGAAAGACCCCGUGGAGCUUUACUGCAGCCUGAUAUUGAAUGUUGGUACAGCUUGUACAGGAUAGGUAGGAGCCUUGGAAACCGGAGCGCCAGCUUCGGUGGAGGCAUCGGUGGGAUACUACCCUGGCUGUAUUGACCUUCUAACCCGCCGCCCUUAUCGGGCGGGGAGACAGUGUCAGGUGGGCAGUUUGACUGGGGCGGUCGCCUCCUAAAAGGUAACGGAGGCGCCCAAAGGUUCCCUCAGAAUGGUUGGAAAUCAUUCGCAGAGUGUAAAGGCACAAGGGAGCUUGACUGCGAGACCUACAAGUCGAGCAGGGACGAAAGUCGGGCUUAGUGAUCCGGUGGUUCCGCAUGGAAGGGCCAUCGCUCAACGGAUAAAAGCUACCCCGGGGAUAACAGGCUUAUCUCCCCCAAGAGUCCACAUCGACGGGGAGGUUUGGCACCUCGAUGUCGGCUCAUCGCAUCCUGGGGCUGUAGUCGGUCCCAAGGGUUGGGCUGUUCGCCCAUUAAAGCGGUACGCGAGCUGGGUUCAGAACGUCGUGAGACAGUUCGGUCCCUAUCCGUCGCGGGCGCAGGAAAUUUGAGAGGAGCUGUCCUUAGUACGAGAGGACCGGGAUGGACGCACCGCUGGUGUACCAGUUGUUCUGCCAAGGGCAUCGCUGGGUAGCUAUGUGCGGACGGGAUAAGUGCUGAAAGCAUCUAAGCAUGAAGCCCCCCUCAAGAUGAGAUUUCCCAUUCCGCAAGGAAGUAAGAUCCCUGAAAGAUGAUCAGGUUGAUAGGUCUGAGGUGGAAGUGUGGCGACACAUGGAGCUGACAGAUACUAAUCGAUCGAGGACUUAACC